UAGGGAAUAUUGCACAAUGGAGGAAACUCUGAUGCAGCAACGCCGCGUGAGUGAAGAAGGCCCUUGGGUCGUAAAGCUCUUUAGCCUGGAAAGAAGUGCUUAUGAGUAAAUAAUUCAUAGGUGUGACGGUACCAGGAGAAUAAGGACCGGCUAAUUUCGUGCCAGCAGCCGCGGUAAUACGAAAGGUCCAAGCGUUACUCGGAAUUACUGGGCGUAAAGCGCGCGUAGGCGGCUUUGUAUGUCGAUUGUGAAAGCCCCGGGCUCAACCUGGGAACUGCAGUCGAAACUGCAAAGCUUGAUUGUUGGAGAGGUUGGGGGAAUACCUAGUGGAGAAGUGAAAUUCGUAGAGAUUAGGUGGAACACCAGAGGCGAAGGCGCUGACCUGGACGAAGAUUGACGCUGAGGUGCGGAAGCGCGGGGAGCAAACA
RNAcentral lists this ribosomal RNA (428 nucleotides) under uncultured bacterium. RNAcentral's name for it is "bacterial SSU rRNA". It matches the Rfam family "Bacterial small subunit ribosomal RNA", at positions 355 to 774 of the family's 1533-position model. The record is from RNAcentral.